GAUGAACGCUGGCGGCGUGCCUAAUACAUGCAGGUCGAGCGAACAGAUAAGGAGCUUGCUCCUUUGACGUUAGCGGCGGACGGGUGAGUAACACGUGGGUAACCUACCUAUAAGACUGGAAUAACUCCGGGAAACCGGGGCUAAUGCCGGAUAAUAUUUAGAACCGCAUGGUUCUAAAGUGAAAGAUGGUUUUACUAUCACUUAUAGAUGGACCCGCGCCGUAUUAGCUAGUUGGUGGGGUAAUGGCUUACCAAGGCAACGAUACGUAGCCGACCUGAGAGGGUGAUCGGCCACACUGGAACUGAGACACGGUCCAGACUCCUACGGGAGGCAGCAGUAGGGAAUCUUCCGCAAUGGGCGAAAGCCUGACGGAGCAACGCCGCGUGAGUGAUGAAGGUCUUCGGAUCGUAAAACUCUGUUAUUAGGGAAGAACAAAUGUGUAAGUAACUGUGCACGUCUUGACGGUACCUAAUCAGAAAGCCACGGCUAACUACGUGCCAGCAGCCGCG
RNAcentral lists this ribosomal RNA (509 nucleotides) under uncultured bacterium. Its description in RNAcentral is "bacterial SSU rRNA". It matches the Rfam family "Bacterial small subunit ribosomal RNA", at positions 28 to 519 of the family's 1533-position model. The record is from RNAcentral.